This 253-nucleotide ribosomal RNA is filed under the name uncultured bacterium. RNAcentral's name for it is "partial 16S ribosomal RNA". It matches the Rfam family "Bacterial small subunit ribosomal RNA", at positions 524 to 776 of the family's 1533-position model. The record is from RNAcentral.
GACAGAGGGUGCAAGCGUUAUCCGGAUUCACUGGGUUUAAAGGGUGCGUAGGUGGGUCUGUAAGUCCGUGGUGAAAUCUCCGAGCUUAACUUGGAAACUGCCAUGGAUACUAUAGGUCUUGAAUACUGUGGAGGUCAGCGGAAUAUGUCAUGUAGCGGUGAAAUGCUUAGAUAUGACAUAGAACACCAAUUGCGAAGGCAGCUGGCUACACAAAUAUUGACACUGAGGCACGAAAGCGUGGGGAUCAAACAGG